Molecule: ribosomal RNA, 440 nt
Filed under: uncultured bacterium
Lineage: Bacteria
Description: partial 16S ribosomal RNA
Rfam family: Bacterial small subunit ribosomal RNA
Source: RNAcentral
CCUACGGGCGGCAGCAGUGGGGAAUAUUGCACAAUGGGGGAAACCCUGAUGCAGCGACGCCGCGUGAGUGAAGAAGUAUUUCGGUAUGUAAAGCUCUAUCAGCAGGGAAGAAAAUGACGGUACCUGACUAAGAAGCCCCGGCUAACUACGUGCCAGCAGCCGCGGUAAUACGUAGGGGGCAAGCGUUAUCCGGAUUUACUGGGUGUAAAGGGAGCGUAGACGGCAGAGCAAGUCUGAAGUGAAAGCCCGGGGCCCAACUGCGGGACUGCUUUGGAAACUGGCCGGCUAGAGUGCUGGAGAGGUAAGCGGAAUUCCGAGUGGAGCGGUGAAAUGCGUAGAUAUUAGGAGGAACACCAGUGGCGAAGGCGGCUUACUGGACAGUAACUGACGUUGAGGCUCGAAAGCGGGGGGAGCAAACAGGAUUAGAUACCCCUGUAGUC